UACGUAGGGUGCAAGCGUUAUCCGGAAUUAUUGGGCGUAAAGAGCUCGUAGGCGGUUUGUCGCGUCUGCUGUGAAAACUGGAGGCUCAACCUCCAGCCUGCAGUGGGUACGGGCAGACUAGAGUGCGGUAGGGGAGAUUGGAAUUCCUGGUGUAGCGGUGGAAUGCGCAGAUAAUCAGGAGGAACACCGAUGGCGAAGGCAGAUCUCUGGGCCGUAACUGACGGCUGAGGAGCGAAAGCAUGGGGAGCGAACAGG
This 255-nucleotide ribosomal RNA is filed under the name uncultured bacterium. Its description in RNAcentral is "partial 16S ribosomal RNA". It matches the Rfam family "Bacterial small subunit ribosomal RNA", at positions 524 to 776 of the family's 1533-position model. The record is from RNAcentral.